GGUUAAGCGACUAAGCGUACACGGUGGAUGCCCUGGCAGUCAGAGGCGAUGAAGGACGUGCUAAUCUGCGAAAAGCGUCGGUAAGGUGAUAUGAACCGUUAUAACCGGCGAUGUCCGAAUGGGGAAACCCAGUGUGAUUCGUCACACUAUCGUUAACUGAAUACAUAGGUUAACGAGGCGAACCGGGGGAACUGAAACAUCUAAGUACCCCGAGGAAAAGAAAUCAACCGAGAUUCCCCCAGUAGCGGCGAGCGAACGGGGAGCAGCCCAGAGUCUGAAUCAGCUUGUGUGUUAGUGGAACGGUCUGGAAAGUCCGACGGUACAGGGUGAUAGUCCCGUACACCAAAAUGCACAGGUUGUGAACUCGAAGAGUAGGGCGGGACACGUGGUAUCCUGUCUGAAUAUGGGGGGACCAUCCUCCAAGGCUAAAUACUCCUGACUGACCGAUAGUGAACCAGUACCGUGAGGGAAAGGCGAAAAGAACCCCGGCGAGGGGAGUGAAAAAGAACCUGAAACCGUGUACGUACAAGCAGUGGGAGCACCUUCGGGUGUGACUGCGUACCUUUUGUAUAAUGGGUCAGCGACUUAUAUUCUGUAGCAAGGUUAACCGUAUAGGGGAGCCGCAGGGAAACCGAGUCUUAACUGGGCGUUAAGUUGCAGGGUAUAGACCCGAAACCCGGUGAUCUAGCCAUGGGCAGGUUGAAGGUUGGGUAACACUAACUGGAGGACCGAACCGACUAAUGUUGAAAAAUUAGCGGAUGACUUGUGGCUGGGGGUGAAAGGCCAAUCAAACCGGGAGAUAGCUGGUUCUCCCCGAAAGCUAUUUAGGUAGCGCCUCGUGAACUCAUCUUCGGGGGUAGAGCACUGUUUCGGCUAGGGGGUCAUCCCGACUUACCAACCCGAUGCAAACUACGAAUACCGAAGAAUGUUAUCACGGGAGACACACGGCGGGUGCUAACGUCCGUCGUGAAGAGGGAAACAACCCAGACCGCCAGCUAAGGUCCCAAAGUCAUGGUUAAGUGGGAAACGAUGUGGGAAGGCACAGACAGCCAGGAUGUUGGCUUAGAAGCAGCCAUCAUUUAAAGAAAGCGUAAUAGCUCACUGGUCGAGUCGGCCUGCGCGGAAGAUGUAACGGGGCUAAACCAUGCACCGAAGCUGCGGCAGCGACACUAUGUGUUGUUGGGUAGGGGAGCGUUCUGUAAGCCUGCGAAGGUGACCUGUGAGGGUUGCUGGAGGUAUCAGAAGUGCGAAUGCUGACAUAAGUAACGAUAAAGCGGGUGAAAAGCCCGCUCGCCGGAAGACCAAGGGUUCCUGUCCAACGUUAAUCGGGGCAGGGUGAGUCGACCCCUAAGGCGAGGCCGAAAGGCGUAGUCGAUGGGAAACAGGUUAAUAUUCCUGUACUUGGUGUUACUGCGAAGGGGGGACGGAGAAGGCUAUGUUAGCCGGGCGACGGUUGUCCCGGUUUAAGCAUGUAGGCUGGUUGUCCAGGCAAAUCCGGAUAAUCAAGGCUGAGGUGUGAUGACGAGGCACUACGGUGCUGAAGUAACAAAUGCCCUGCUUCCAGGAAAAGCCUCUAAGCAUCAGGUAACAUUAAAUCGUACCCCAAACCGACACAGGUGGUCAGGUAGAGAAUACCAAGGCGCUUGAGAGAACUCGGGUGAAGGAACUAGGCAAAAUGGUGCCGUAACUUCGGGAGAAGGCACGCUGGUGUGUAGGUGAAGUCCCUGCGGAUGGAGCUGAGACCAGUCGAAGAUACCAGCUGGCUGCAACUGUUUAUUAAAAACACAGCACUGUGCAAACACGAAAGUGGACGUAUACGGUGUGACGCCUGCCCGGUGCCGGAAGGUUAAUUGAUGGGGUUAUCCGUAAGGAGAAGCUCUUGAUCGAAGCCCCGGUAAACGGCGGCCGUAACUAUAACGGUCCUAAGGUAGCGAAAUUCCUUGUCGGGUAAGUUCCGACCUGCACGAAUGGCGUAAUGAUGGCCAGGCUGUCUCCACCCGAGACUCAGUGAAAUUGAACUCGCUGUGAAGAUGCAGUGUACCCGCGGCAAGACGGAAAGACCCCGUGAACCUUUACUAUAGCUUGACACUGAACAUUGAGCCUUGAUGUGUAGGAUAGGUGGGAGGCUUUGAAGCGUGGACGCCAGUCUGCGUGGAGCCAACCUUGAAAUACCACCCUUUAAUGUUUGAUGUUCUAACGUUGGCCCCUGACCGGGGUUGCGGACAGUGUCUGGUGGGUAGUUUGACUGGGGCGGUCUCCUCCCAAAGCGUAACGGAGGAGCACGAAGGUUAGCUAAUCCUGGUCGGACAUCAGGAGGUUAGUGCAAUGGCAUAAGCUAGCUUGACUGCGAGCGUGACGGCGCGAGCAGGUGCGAAAGCAGGUCAUAGUGAUCCGGUGGUUCUGAAUGGAAGGGCCAUCGCUCAACGGAUAAAAGGUACUCCGGGGAUAACAGGCUGAUACCGCCCAAGAGUUCAUAUCGACGGCGGUGUUUGGCACCUCGAUGUCGGCUCAUCACAUCCUGGGGCUGAAGUAGGUCCCAAGGGUAUGGCUGUUCGCCAUUUAAAGUGGUACGCGAGCUGGGUUUAGAACGUCGUGAGACAGUUCGGUCCCUAUCUGCCGUGGGCGCUGGAGAAUUGAGGGGGGCUGCUCCUAGUACGAGAGGACCGGAGUGGACGCAUCACUGGUGUUCGGGUUGUCAUGCCAAUGGCACUGCCCGGUAGCUAAAUGCGGAAGAGAUAAGUGCUGAAAGCAUCUAAGCACGAAACUUGCCCCGAGAUGAGUUCUCCCUGAGACUUUAAGUCUCCUGAAGGAACGUU
RNAcentral lists this ribosomal RNA (2816 nucleotides) under Klebsiella pneumoniae. RNAcentral's name for it is "partial 23S ribosomal RNA". It matches the Rfam family "Bacterial large subunit ribosomal RNA". Lineage: Bacteria; Pseudomonadati; Pseudomonadota; Gammaproteobacteria; Enterobacterales; Enterobacteriaceae. The record is from RNAcentral.